Molecule: ribosomal RNA, 879 nt
Filed under: uncultured Fusobacterium sp.
Lineage: Bacteria; Fusobacteriati; Fusobacteriota; Fusobacteriia; Fusobacteriales; Fusobacteriaceae
Description: bacterial SSU rRNA
Rfam family: Bacterial small subunit ribosomal RNA (bases 1-788)
Source: RNAcentral
GAUGAACGCUGACAGAAUGCUUAACACAUGCAAGUCAACUUGAAUUUGGGUUUUUAACUUAGAUUUGGGUGGCGGACGGGUGAGUAACGCGUAAAGAACUUGCCUCACAGCUAGGGACAACAUUUAGAAAUGAAUGCUAAUACCUAAUAUUAUGAUAAUAGGGCAUCCUAUAAUUAUGAAAGCUAUAUGCGCUGUGAGAGAGCUUUGCGUCCCAUUAGCUAGUUGGAGAGGUAACGGCUCACCAAGGCGAUGAUGGGUAGCCGGCCUGAGAGGGUGAUCGGCCACAAGGGGACUGAGACACGGCCCUUACUCCUACGGGAGGCAGCAGUGGGGAAUAUUGGACAAUGGACCGAGAGUCUGAUCCAGCAAUUCUGUGUGCACGAUGAAGUUUUUCGGAAUGUAAAGUGCUUUCAGUUGGGAAGAAAGAAAUGACGGUACCAACAGAAGAAGUGACGGCUAAAUACGUGCCAGCAGCCGCGGUAAUACGUAUGUCACGAGCGUUAUCCGGAUUUAUUGGGCGUAAAGCGCGUCUAGGUGGUUAUAUAAGUCUGAUGUGAAAAUGCAGGGGCUCAACUCUGUAUUGCGUUGGAAACUGUAUAACUAGAGUACUGGAGAGGUAAGCGGAACUACAAGUGUAGAGGUGAAAAUUCGUAUAUAUUUGUACGAAUGCCGAUGGGGGAGCCAACUUACUGGACAGAUACUGACGCUGAAUCUCGAAGGCGUGGGUAGCGAACAGGAUAGAUACCCAUGUAGUCCCAAAGCGAUUCGCCGUGGAUAUAAAAUUAUCAAUAGGGCACCCGCGACGGGGAGGCGGGCCCGCUUUUAGCCCUGUACCGGGAGGGGAGCCGCGACCGCUACCAGUUGUCAGAGUUAUUUCAA